GACGAACGCUGGCGGCGUGCUUAACACAUGCAAGUCGAACGAUGAAGUCCCUUCGGGAAUGGAUUAGUGGCGAACGGGUGAGGAACACGUGAGAAACCUGCCUUUCAUUUUGGGAUAACUCCGGGAAACCGGGGCUAAAACCGAAUACUCCGUCUCGGCGGCAUCGCCGAGCCGGGAAAAAAUUUUGAUGAAAGAUGGUCUCGCGGCCUAUCAGCUAGUUGGUGAGGUAAUGGCUCACCAAGGCAACGACGGGUAGCCGGCCUGAGAGGGCGACCGGCCACACGGGGACUGAGAAACGGCCCAGACUCCUACGGGAGGCAGCAGUGGGGAAUAUUGGUCAAUGGGCGCAAGCCUGACCCAGCGCCGCCGCGUGAGGGAUGAAGGCCUUCGGGUUGUAAACCUCUUUCAGUAGGGAAGAAGCGAAAGUGACGGUACCUAAAGAAGAAGCACCGGCUAACUAUGUGCCAGCCGCCGCAGUAA
Molecule: ribosomal RNA, 480 nt
Filed under: uncultured bacterium
Lineage: Bacteria
Description: partial 16S ribosomal RNA
Rfam family: Bacterial small subunit ribosomal RNA
Source: RNAcentral